AGUGAACGCUGGCGGUAGGCCUAACACAUGCAAGUCGAACGGCAGCACAGUAAGAGUUUGCUCUUACGGGUGGCGAGUGGCGGACGGGUGAGGAAUACAUCGGAAUCUACUUUUUCGUGGGGGAUAACGUAGGGAAACUUACGCUAAUACCGCAUACGACCUACGGGUGAAAGCAGGGGAUCUUCGGACCUUGCGCGAUUGAAUGAGCCGAUGUCGGAUUAGCUAGUUGGCGGGGUAAAGGCCCACCAAGGCGACGAUCCGUAGCUGGUCUGAGAGGAUGAUCAGCCACACUGGAACUGAGACACGGCCCAGACUCCGACGGGAGGCAGCAGUGGGGAAUAUUGGGCAAGGGGCGCAAGCCUGAUCCAGGCAUACCGCGUGGGUGAUGAAGGCCUUCGGGUGGGAAAGCGCUGUUGUUGGGAAAGAAAAACAGCAGGUUAAUACCCCGCUGUUCUGACGGUACCCAAAGAAUAAGCACCGGCUAACUUCGUG
RNAcentral lists this ribosomal RNA (492 nucleotides) under uncultured bacterium. Its description in RNAcentral is "partial 16S ribosomal RNA". It matches the Rfam family "Bacterial small subunit ribosomal RNA", at positions 29 to 507 of the family's 1533-position model. The record is from RNAcentral.